GUCCACGCCGUAAACGAUGGGCAUUAGGUGUGGGAGGUGUCGACUCCUCCCGCGCCGUCGCUAACGCAUUAAAUGCCCCGCCUGGGGAGUACGGCCGCAAGGCUAAAACUCAAAGGAAUUGACGGGGGCCCGCACAAGCAGCGGAGCAUGUGGUUUAAUUCGACGCAACGCGAAGAACCUUACCUGGGCUUGACAUGUUCGUGACCGGUGUGGAAACACACCUUUCCUUCGGGACACGAUCACAGGUGGUGCAUGGCUGUCGU
This 263-nucleotide ribosomal RNA is filed under the name uncultured bacterium. RNAcentral's name for it is "partial 16S ribosomal RNA". It matches the Rfam family "Bacterial small subunit ribosomal RNA", at positions 793 to 1055 of the family's 1533-position model. The record is from RNAcentral.